AUUGAAUGUAUUUCUGCUUCCAAACUCGCUUAUUUUGGUUUGGUGAUGCAGAGGACUUUUGAGUACUCUAAUUUUCAUGAGAUCAAAUCAAAGAAAGCAAUUACUGGGGAAGAUACAGGAAAGAUAAGGAAGAAGACACUGUUUUAGCUAAUGGAACCUCUCCUUUGAGUUUAGAAAACGAACCUUGCAUAAACUAGUUACAUUUGUCUCCUUCCUUCAACCAUAUAGGUUCCUAGAUCCAUUUUUUUUUUUAAUUGUGAAAACAUUUGUUUUCUUUUUUCCUGCCUACUGGUGGCUGUCUUGCAAUCUUUCAAUAGAAGGAGUCCGAUUACUAAUUAAGACACAGCUGUUGGAUCAUCUGGGGACUUUAUCUUCACAUUUUUUUUUUCUCUGAGUCCCUGGAUCGUCACUUGCUGACUUCCCAAGUUUAAUUCCUUCAAUGCUUG
This 446-nucleotide long non-coding RNA is filed under the name Bos taurus (domestic cattle). RNAcentral describes it as "long non-coding RNA NONBTAT025730". Lineage: Eukaryota; Metazoa; Chordata; Mammalia; Artiodactyla; Bovidae. The record is from RNAcentral.